CUGGCUCUUAGGAUCCCCAUUGCAGGGCGGGGAGGCACCCACCGCGAGGGGGAGACUGAGAGCCAGUCCCUCCCACCCCCGGCUCUUAGGACUCGCAUCGCAAGCGGGGGAGGCACGCCACGCGAGGCGGGGACUGAGAGCCAGCCCCCCUUCCCCCCGGGCUUAGGACCCCCAUCGCGGUUCCUAAGAUCCUUAGGACCCACCUGGAGGACUGUGGGUAUGGGGUGUCCAAGAAGAAAGCUCAGAUCUGCCCACGGCAGGUACCUUACUUGGGAUUUACAAUCGACAGGGGUCCGAACGCAGCCCGGGAAAAGAAAGAAAGCAGGUCAUUUACAAUCUACCGGAGCCAGCCCGUCUUCCCCUCGCUUGCUCUUAGGUCCCCCAUCGCAGUGGGGGGAGGCACUCCCCGCGAGGCGAGGACUGAGAACCAGCCCCUCUUCCCUCCCUGGUUCUUAGGACCCCCAUCGCAGGGACGGAGGCACCCGCAGCGAGGCGGGGACUGAGAGCCUGCCCCUCUUACCCCCCUGGCUCUUAGGACCCCCAUCGCAGGAGUCGGAGGCACCCCCCGCGAGGCGGGGACUGAGAGAGAGCUCCUCUUCCCCCCCAGGAUCUUAGGACCCCCAUCGCGGGGGGGGAGGCACUCCCGCCAGGAUCCCCAUCGCAAGGGGGGAAGACACCGCCCACGAGUCGGGGACUGAGAGCCAGCCCCUCUUCCCCCGCUGGCUUAGGACCCCCACCGCGGAUUCUAAGAUCCUUAGCACCCACCUGGAGGACUGGGGGUUUUAGGUGUCCAAGAAGAAAGCUCAGACCUGCCGACCGCAGGACCUCCAUCGCAGCGGGGCAGGCACACACCGCGAGGCGGGAACUGAGAGCCAGCCCCUCCCACCUCUGGCUCUUAGGACUCACAUUGCAAGUGGGGGAGGCAUCCUCCGCGAGGCGCGGACUGAGAGCCAGCCCCUCUUCCCCCCCUGGCUCUAGGGACCCCCAUCGCAGGGGGUGGAGGCACCCCACGCGAUUCGGGGACUGAGAGCCAGCCCCUCUCCUUCCCCCUGCUCUUCGGACCCCCAUCGCAGGGCGGGGAGGCACCCACCGCGAGGCGGGGACUGAGAGCCAGCCCCUCUACCCCCCGUGGCUCUUAGGAGCCCCAUCGCAGGGUGGGAGGCCACCCGGCGAGGCGAGGAUUGAGAGCCAGCCCGUCUUCCCCCCUUGGCUCUUAGGAGCCCCAUCGCGGGUGGGGAAGGCACCCCCCGCGAGGCAGGGACUGAGAGCCAGCCUCUCUUCCUCCCGUGGCUCUUAGGACCCCCAUCGCAGUGGGGGGAGGCACCCCCCGCGAGGCGGGGACUGAGAGCAAGCCCAUUUCCCCCCCCCCCGGCUCUUAGGACACCCAACGCAGAGGGGGGAGGCACCCCCUGCGAGGCAGGAACUGAGAGCCAGACCCACUUCUCCCCGGCUCUUGGGAUCCCCAUCGCGGGGAGGGGAGGCACCCCACACGAGGCGGGGACUGAGAGCCAGCCCCUCUUCCCCCCCUGGCUAUUAGGACCCCCAUCGCAGGGGGGAGAGGCACCCCCCGAGAGGCAGGGACGGAGAGCCUGCACCUCUUCCCCCACGGGCUCUUAGGACCCCCAUCGCAGGCGCUUCGCACCCCACGCGAGGCGGGUACUGAGAGCCAGCUCCUCUUUCCCCCGUCUCUUAGGACUGCCAUCGCAGAGGGGGAGGUAACCCCCGCCAGGCAGGGACUGACAGCCAGCCCCUCUUCACCUCUGGCUCUUAGGCCCCCAUCGCAGAGUGGGGAGGCACCACAUGCGAGGCGGGGACUGCGAGCCAGCCCCACUUCCCCCCUGGCUCUUGGGACCACCAUCGCAGUGGGGGGAGGUACACCCCGCGAGGCGGGGACGGAGAGUCAGCCCCUCUUCCCCCACUGGCUCUUGGGAACCCCAUCGCAAGGGGGAGAGGCACCCUCCGCGACGCGGGGACUGAGAGACAGCCCCUCUUCCCCCCCUGGCUCUAGGGACCCCCAUCGCAGGGGGUGGAGGCACCCCACGCGAUGCGGGGACUGAGAGCCAGCCCCUCUCCGCCCCCCCCGACCCCGCCCGGGUCUUCGGACCCCCAUCGCAGUGGGGGGAGGCACCCCAUGCGAGGCGGGGUCUGACAGCCAAACCCUCUUCCCCCUCUGGCUCUUAUGACCCCCAUAGCAAGGGGGGAGGCACCCCCCGCGAGGCGGGGACUAGAGCCAGCCCCUCUUCCCACCCUGGCUUAGGACCCCCAUCGCGGAUCCUAAGAUCCUUAGGACCCAACUGGAGGACUGUGGGUAUUAGGUGCCCAAGAAGAAAGCUCAGAUCUGCCGACGUUACUUGGGAUUUACUAUCCGACAGGUGUCCGAACACAGCUCGAGAUCAGAAAGAAAGCAGGGGUCCGAACGCAGCCCGGGAUCAGGAAGAAAGCAGGUCGUUUGCAAUCUACCGGAGCCUAAGGGCAGAAGGCAGGAUCGUGGGAACAAUAUCCCAGGGGGGUUUCCACUUUCUGCCAUAUAUGUAGUCACAUCGCCCACUCCGCCUUGGAAUAUUAUUAAGGACCAUCUAACACGAGGGUGUAUACGUCCUGCGAUAUUACGAGUAAUAUCAACUUCUUGGCCUCUGAAUAUGAGGAAGAAUAUCACAGGGGGUCCGAAUGCAGCCCGGGAUCACAAAGAAAGCAGGUCGUUUGCAAUCUACCAGAGCCUAAGGGCAGAAGGCAGGAUCGUGGGAACAAUAUCCCAUGGGGGUGUACCCUUUCUGCCAUAUAUGUAGUCACAUCACCCACUCCGCCUUGGAAUAUUAUUAAGGACCAUCUAACACGAGGGUGUAUACGUCCUGUGAUAUUGGGAGUAAUAUCAACUUCUCGGCCUCUGAAUAUGAGGAAGAAUAUCACAGGGAUAUUAAUAACAAUUUCACAGGCUGGGUGAACACAGCCGGCGAUGCUGAAAUUAUUAUCAUCCUCUCCCCCUCUUCCCCUCCUGGCUCUCAGUCCCCGCCUCACGGGUUAUGUAGCGGGUUAUGGCAAGAAGACAAACUGCAGUUUCCUGCACAGAACAGCACAAACAAUGAUCCAAGCUCAGUUACAACACAAUAUUGGUCAUCAUUUGACCAUGGACUUCAAUAUCAACCCUUAGAAACCUUCCUAAAACAGGUCAGCAAAACACCAAGAAGCAAUAUCCUGAAUGAUAGGAAAAUAUCCUUGCUUGUGCAAAUUGUUUCCACUUAAUUUUUUUCAACAAAUGUUAAUUAUAUUUUUACUUUCUAAAAAUUUUUAAUAAAAUAUAGCCUACUUGGUUAAAAAUGGUGUCAAAGCUUUU
RNAcentral lists this long non-coding RNA (3331 nucleotides) under Homo sapiens (human). Its description in RNAcentral is "HSALNT0367518". Lineage: Eukaryota; Metazoa; Chordata; Mammalia; Primates; Hominidae. The record is from RNAcentral.